This 119-nucleotide ribosomal RNA is filed under the name Pteropus alecto (black flying fox). Lineage: Eukaryota; Metazoa; Chordata; Mammalia; Chiroptera; Pteropodidae. The record is from RNAcentral.
GUUUACGGCCAUACCACCCUGAACAAACCCGAUCCCGUCUGAUCUCGGAAGCUAAGCAGGGUCGGGCCUGAUUAAUACUUGGAUGGGAGACCACCUAGGAAGACCAGGUGCCGUAGGCA